UCAUAUGACUAAAGAUAUGUUUUACUGACUUCAUGAUCACUGAAAAUUUUUGAAGCAGUCAUAAAAAAUUAUGCAUCUUAGUUACAUUCCUCAUUUAUUUUUUUUAGUAAGUAAAAGAUAUGAGAAUAAAAUGACACAAUUUUAGUAUUAAAGCUAGAGCUUGAUUUCCAAAUAUGUUUUUUUAUGCAGCAAAAAUUUUAUGGAUUGUUUUCUUGUUCAUCAUUUAAUGAUCAGCAAAAUAUUCUGCAAACUGCCACAGAAGAAAAUAACGCAUACAGAAGGAUGAAGAAGGAAAUAGAACAGCACAUGCUAUAAAUUGAACGAAAUAAAUACAAGGUUGUUUCAGGAAGUCAUGGCUCUACCUCCUUGUAACCUUCCUCAUAAGAGGUUCCCAUCCCCACAUGAUCUUCUGAAGGAACUUCUCUCUUGGAAGGCAGUGCUUGAAGCAGGGCAGAGGCACAUGCUGUCUUCUGGCUCCAGUUGUGCUGAGCAACUAUUUUUAAAAUUUUUUCUCAAUUGAAAGUUUCUGGAAAACUGAAAAGCAGCAGAAAGGUGGGAGAAGGCCUCAGCUGAGUUGAAAC
Non-coding RNA from Taeniopygia guttata (zebra finch), 581 nucleotides. The record is from RefSeq and is a predicted model, not a curated record. NCBI's taxonomy places the organism in Eukaryota, Metazoa, Chordata, Aves, Passeriformes, Estrildidae.